AAAAAUGAGGGGUAUGGUGUGGCGUGGCCAGCCAUGUAAUUUUUUUUAAUUAAAGUAGCCAACCAAAGCCAGCUAUAUUAAACCAACCAAAGCCAACUAAGUCACCAUGUCCCCCGCCCCACGCCAGGCUGAAUACCCACGUCACAGGGGCACCGCCCUAACCAACGCCAACCCGAAGUGGAGCAGCUGGCGUUCAAGGGCAUCCCCGCCCAUCCAACGUCCCCACCCCCCGCAGUCUAAAGAGACUGCAUCUAGAAAGCACUUUAAAAUUUAGCGAUCAAAUUAUAAGGAUUUUAAACUUUUUGAGAAUGUGAAAUUUAAAAUUUAGCGAUCAAAUUAUAAGGAUUUUAAAUAUUUUGAGAAUGUGAAAUUUUAUGUUAAAAUAACUCCCUCCCAAUUUAAUUCCCGCUCCUUCCUAUUCCUCCUAAAUUUAAAUUAACUUCCCCCCAAAUCUGCUCAGUUAUCACAAACCCUAUCAAUCUUCAUUAUUUGCCCUCCAUGCCUUCAGCGAUUGCAGGAUGAUGAUUUCUUUGAAGCCAACACUACGAGAGUGGCAGGAACAUCAAACAAACCUUAUCAGCAUACUACCCCGUCGCAUUGCCCUUCACAACCAUCAUCAAUGCCGGAAAACCGAUCCAACUUCGUGUUCAGCAUCUCUGCCGGUUACCGUGGAGCAACAUAUCGAGUUGAAUCUGAGCACUGAGUCAGAUUGAUUUACGGAAUUCAAAAUUUCUAAUCGGAUGGUGGAGACGAUCACGGUGGUACACGGGAGAUCUUUGGUGGCAAGGAAAAGAGGCGGCGCAGAUUGAAGAGUUGUAGUAAAAGAAAAUGCAGACAAAGCAGAGAAAUAGUGUGCAUCUUUUGGAGUGUGAGUAGCAUUACUAUUGUUGUGAUUCACUUUUAGGCUCAACGUUUACUUGACAUUCAUCUUUAUCAGGAGUGCAGACGAGCCAAGCCAAGCCUGAGCUUGAUUAGGCUUGAGCUCGGCUGUUGGAUAGCUUUUCAAGCUUCAGCGUGGCUCGGACCUGCCAAUAUUAUUAUUACUAAAGAGUUUAUAAUAAUUAUUAUUGUUUUCUAUUAUUUUUUUCUUUUUUGACUCAAUAAACGCAAUUAUUCUGACCCGUUUUAAUUGACUUGUUUUUGCCAAACCCACCCCCCCCCAAUGACAAAUAUCGGAUCUGCCUGUUGGAUAUGAAUUUGGGAUCCUUCACUUGUUUAGUUUGAAACUGGGAUCCCUCACAGAAUUCUUGUUGCUUGAGAAGGAAAAGAUUGAAAUGAUAGAUACAUGGGUGAGUUAGAUUUUGAUUAUUAUAGAGGACUUUUCCUUGGACACUGACCAAUUGCAACCAGCAACCAGGUUCAUGAGAAUGCGGUUAUAUGGUGAUCAAACAUAUACGGGAGUUUGUUGAGAGAAUUCAACAUUACUUUAUUAAUAUCUUAUGGAAUGCAAAAGAGAAGACCACGCAUGAGAAAAUUGAAAUUAUGAUCGUCCACUUAAUGGAGCAUUGGAUUAAGGUGUUCGGUGUUUGAGGGCCAGAUAUGAACUUCGUAAAUGCGUUUCAAGGCAAUUUCUAAGGUUUUCCAUUGCAAGUAUGAAUUAAAGACGUUGGGGUUGGGUUGCAAGUAUGAAGACAUCAGUUCAGGGAGUCAUUGUAUAUCGUAUUCAUCUUUAGAGAUAUAUGUAUUUGUGUUACUUUAAAACUUUUUUAAUUUUGUGUUACUUUGAAACCUUUGUAAUUUAUAUUGGUUUUAAUUUAGUUUUGUUUUUUGUAUAUAUUUUUUUUUUCAAUUUUGGAUAAUUUGAUUAUAAUGAGAAUUUAUUGGGAAUUUUUAA
Molecule: long non-coding RNA, 1834 nt
Organism: Helianthus annuus (common sunflower)
Lineage: Eukaryota; Viridiplantae; Streptophyta; Magnoliopsida; Asterales; Asteraceae
Exons: 8
Source: RefSeq, a predicted model, not a curated record